Molecule: unclassified non-coding RNA, 355 nt
Filed under: fungal sp.
Lineage: Eukaryota; Fungi
Description: partial internal transcribed spacer region
Rfam family: Eukaryotic small subunit ribosomal RNA (bases 1-46)
Source: RNAcentral
AAGUCGUAACAAGGUUUCCGUAGGUGAACCUGCGGAAGGAUCAUUAACACGUAUCCAACGUUAAACCCCCCGUGAACCUUCAUUGUGCUCCCCCAUUCCGUUAGGACGCGGCAAUCCCUGGUAAAUCAUCGCCGAACAGUUUUGAUUCAGGGACCUCUGCAUGGAGUGGGCAGCAGCGCGAGGCAAGUGGCCUGGCAUUCGAAAGAAUGGCGCAGUAACGAUCGCUAGAGGCCGACACGGCCGACCGGGUCACUGGGCUCACGCCCCCCUAUCACCUUUGCAUGAAAACGGGCCUGCGCUUAAUUGUGCGGCCACCAAACUCGAACAACUGUUAACAAUGGAUAUCUUGGUUCUC